GAUGAACGCUGGCGGCGUGCCUAAUACAUGCAAGUCGAGCGAACGGACGAGAAGCUUGCUUCUCUGAUGUUAGCGGCGGACGGGUGAGUAACACGUGGAUAACCUACCUAUAAGACUGGGAUAACUUCGGGAAACCGGAGCUAAUACCGGAUAAUAUUUUGAACCGCAUGGUUCAAAAGUGAAAGACGGUCUUGCUGUCACUUAUAGAUGGAUCCGCGCUGCAUUAGCUAGUUGGUAAGGUAACGGCUUACCAAGGCAACGAUGCAUAGCCGACCUGAGAGGGUGAUCGGCCACACUGGAACUGAGACACGGUCCAGACUCCUACGGGAGGCAGCAGUAGGGAAUCAUCCGCAAUGGGCGAAAGCCUGACGGAGCAACGCCGCGUGAGUGAUGAAGGUCUUCGGAUCGUAAAACUCUGUUAUUAGGGAAGAACAUAUGUGUAAGUAACUGUGCACAUCUUGACGGUACCUAAUCAGAAAGCCACGGCUAACUACGUG
RNAcentral lists this ribosomal RNA (497 nucleotides) under uncultured bacterium. RNAcentral describes it as "partial 16S ribosomal RNA". It matches the Rfam family "Bacterial small subunit ribosomal RNA", at positions 28 to 507 of the family's 1533-position model. The record is from RNAcentral.